RNAcentral lists this ribosomal RNA (158 nucleotides) under Pythium insidiosum. Its description in RNAcentral is "5.8S ribosomal RNA". The stretch from base 1 to 61 matches the Rfam family "5.8S ribosomal RNA", at positions 95 to 154 of the family's 154-position model. The record is from RNAcentral. Lineage: Eukaryota; Oomycota; Peronosporomycetes; Pythiales; Pythiaceae.
AAAUUUUGAACGCAUAUUGCACUUUCGGGUUAUGCCUGGAAGUAUGCCUGUAUCAGUGUCCGUACAUCAAACUUGCCUUUCUUUUUCUGUGUAGUCAGGAAUCGAGAUGGCAGAAUGUGAGGUGUCUCGAGCCGUCCCCUCUUUUUGGGAGAUAGCAC